Small nuclear RNA from Ailuropoda melanoleuca (giant panda), 105 nucleotides. The record is from Ensembl. NCBI's taxonomy places the organism in Eukaryota, Metazoa, Chordata, Mammalia, Carnivora, Ursidae.
UAUACUAAAUUGGAAUGAUAUACUAAAAUUGGAACAAUACAGAGAAGAUAAGCACGGCCCCUGUGCAAGGAUGACACACAAAUUCAUUAAGCAUUCCAUAUUAAA